GGGUCGAUGGCGUAGCUGGUUAUCGCAUCUGUCUAACAUAUGUGGUUUGUAUGAUGUGCACAGAAGGUCCUCAGUUCGAACCUGGGUCGACUCA
Molecule: non-coding RNA, 94 nt
Organism: Armillaria fumosa
Lineage: Eukaryota; Fungi; Basidiomycota; Agaricomycetes; Agaricales; Physalacriaceae
Source: the annotation of a GenBank genome assembly